Molecule: ribosomal RNA, 1343 nt
Filed under: uncultured bacterium
Lineage: Bacteria
Description: 16S ribosomal RNA
Rfam family: Bacterial small subunit ribosomal RNA
Source: RNAcentral
GACGAACGCUGGCGGCGUGCUUAACACAUGCAAGUCGAACGGAAAGGCCCUGCUUUUGUGGGGUGCUCGAGUGGCGAACGGGUGGGUAACACGUGAGUAACCUGCCCUUGACUUUGGGAUAACUUCAGGAAACUGGGGCUAAUACCGGAUAGGAGCUCCUGCUGCAUGGUGGGGGUUGGAAAGUUUCGGCGGUUGGGGAUGGACUCGCGGCUUAUCAGCUUGUUGGUGGGGUAGUGGCUUACCAAGGCUUUGACGGGUAGCCGGCCUGAGAGGGUGACCGGCCACAUUGGGACUGAGAUACGGCCCAGACUCCUACGGGAGGCAGCAGUGGGGAAUAUUGCACAAUGGGCGGAAGCCUGAUGCAGCAACGCCGCGUGCGGGAUGACGGCCUUCGGGUUGUAAACCGCUUUCGCCUGUGACGAAGCGUGAGUGACGGUAAUGGGUAAAGAAGCACCGGCUAACUACGUGCCAGCAGCCGCGGUGAUACGUAGGGUGCGAGCGUUGUCCGGAUUUAUUGGGCGUAAAGGGCUCGUAGGUGGUUGAUCGCGUCGGAAGUGUAAUCUUGGGGCUUAACCCUGAGCGUGCUUUCGAUACGGGUUGACUUGAGGAAGGUAGGGGAGAAUGGAAUUCCUGGUGGAGCGGUGGAAUGCGCAGAUAUCAGGAGGAACACCAGUGGCGAAGGCGGUUCUCUGGGCCUUUCCUGACGCUGAGGAGCGAAAGCGUGGGGAGCGAACAGGCUUAGAUACCCUGGUAGUCCACGCUGUAAACGGUGGGUACUAGGUGUGGGGUCCAUUCCACGGGUUCCGUGCCGUAGCUAACGCUUUAAGUACCCCGCCUGGGGAGUACGGCCGCAAGGCUAAAACUCAAAGGAAUUGACGGGGCCCCGCACAAGCGGCGGAGCAUGCGGAUUAAUUCGAUGCAACGCGUAGAACCUUACCUGGGUUUGACAUGGAUCGGGAGUGCUCAGAGAUGGGUGUGCCUCUUUUGGGGUCGGUUCACAGGUGGUGCAUGCCUGUCGUCAGCUCGUGUCGUGAGAUGUUGGGUUAAGUCCCGCAACGAGCGCAACCCUUGUUCACUGUUGCCAGCACGUUAUGGUGGGGACUCAGUGGAGACCGCCGGGGUCAACUCGGAGGAAGGUGGGGAUGACGUCAAGUCAUCAUGCCCCUUAUGUCCAGGGCUUCACGCAUGCUACAAUGGCUGGUACAGAGAGUGGCGAGCCUGUGAGGGUGAGCGAAUCUCGGAAAGCCGGUCUCAGUUCGGAUUGGGGUCUGCAACUCGACCUCAUGAAGUCGGAGUCGCUAGUAAUCGCAGAUCAGCAACGCUGCGGUGAAUACGUUCCCGGG